This 402-nucleotide ribosomal RNA is filed under the name bacterium. RNAcentral's name for it is "partial 16S ribosomal RNA". It matches the Rfam family "Bacterial small subunit ribosomal RNA", at positions 355 to 776 of the family's 1533-position model. The record is from RNAcentral.
UGGGGAAUUUUGCACAAUGGGGGAAACCCUGAUGCAGCGACGCCGCGUGAUUUAGAAGGCCUUCGGGUUGUAAAAAUCUUUUCUAUGGGAAGAAAAUGACAGUACCAUAGGAAUAAGGACCGGCUAAUUACGUGCCAGCAGCCGCGGUAAUACGUAAGGUCCGAGCGUUGUCCGGAAUCAUUGGGCGUAAAGGGUACGUAGGCGGGUAAGCAAGUUAGAAGUGAAAUCCUAUAGCUCAACUAUAGUAAGCUUCUAAAACUGCUCAUCUUGAGGUAUGGAAGGGAAAGUGGAAUUCCUAGUGUAGCGGUGAAAUGCGCAGAUAUUAGGAGGAAUACCGGUGGCGAAGGCGACUUUCUGGCCAUAACCUGACGCUGAGGUACGAAAGCGUGGGUAGCAAACAGG